This 253-nucleotide ribosomal RNA is filed under the name uncultured bacterium. RNAcentral's name for it is "partial 16S ribosomal RNA". It matches the Rfam family "Bacterial small subunit ribosomal RNA", at positions 524 to 776 of the family's 1533-position model. The record is from RNAcentral.
UACGUAGGUGACAAGCGUUGUCCGGAUUUACUGGGCGUAAAGAGCGCGCAGGCGGUCGAUCAAGUCGAGUGUGAAAGCCCCCGGCUCAACUGGGGAGGGUCAUUCGAUACUGAUCGACUCGAAGGCAGGAGAGGGUAGUGGAAUUCCCGGUGUAGUGGUGAAAUGCGUAGAUAUCCGGAGGAACACCAGUGGCGAAGGCGGCUUCCUGGACCGACACUGACGCUGAGGCGCGAAAGCUAGGGGAGCAAACGGG